UAGCAACAUGGACCGACUAGGAAGAGUAACAACAUGCACAGAAUUGUCUCUCAUCUUAGAAAAUGCAUAGUCGCUUUAAUUUUUUGCCGUUCUCUAAAAACUUGCUUGCCUCUGAAAUGUUGAUGAAGUUCUUAGUAGACAGUCAGAGAAAUGCUCUAAUCCUGGAUCUAGUGGAGAAGGACGUCCUUUCAGGAGCAGUGGCUUGUUCCAGGAGAACAACACUUCAGGAAGUCUUCUCAGUCAUGAUGAGGAGGUUGAAAAGGUUUGGAAUGGGCCCUCAAAUCCUCAAAGUUCUACAGCUGCACCGUUGAGAGCAUCUGGACUGGCUGCAUCGCUGCUUGGUAUGGCAACAGCACCGCCCUCGAUCACAUGGCGCUACAGAGGGUGGUGCAGACAGCUGGUACAUCACUGGGGCCCAGCUCCCUGCCAUCCAGGACCUCUAUAUCAUGCGGUGUAAAAGGAAUGCCCGGAAAAUUGUUGGAUUCCAGCCACCCAAGCCAUACACUGUUCUCUCUGUUUCCGCACAGCAAGCGGUACCGCUGCAUCAAGUCUGACACCAACAGGCUCCUGAACAGCUUCUAUCCCCAAACAAUAAGACUGCUAAAUAGCUAACAAAAUGGCUACACGGACUGAGUUCACCCUUUGUGUAACAUUUAUAUUUUUGCACUGUCUCUAUGCAGACUCGCAGCACUUUAUACACACACACUGACACUCCAACACACAUGACAUGCACACACCUGUAUACUGACUCUAUAUACACAUACACACACAGUCAUUUACGCUGCUGCUACUCUGUUAAUCAUAUAUUCUGAUGCCUAGUCACCUGACCCCUCUAUCACCAGUAUGCCUGCACAAUGUCAAUAUGCUAUUGGAACUGACCCUGUAUAUAGCUUCUUAUUUUAUUUUCUUGUUUUUGUUCUAAAGUAUGUUAUUUUUAAGUACUACAUGAAUCACUGCGUUGUUGGGUUUAGAGCUAGCAAGAAGGGCAUUUCACUGUACUUGUGAAUGUGACAACUUGAAACUUGAAUUAAAGCAGAUGGUGUUAACAAACUAACCUUUUUCUUGUUGGCCUAUUUCGUUUCAAUCAAAUCAGAUAAGAAAUUACAGGUGUUUUUGGUGUAACAUUAUAGGUCUAUGUUACAGUAUAUUCUAUUCAGUUUUAUUAUGUAAAAUACUAAUGAAUCAUUAUAGGAUCUUGCGAGACAGAGCACCACUGUG
This 1218-nucleotide long non-coding RNA is filed under the name Salmo salar (Atlantic salmon). Its description in RNAcentral is "lncRNA (ENSSSAG00000120398.1, ENSSSAG00020075537.1)". The record is from RNAcentral. Lineage: Eukaryota; Metazoa; Chordata; Actinopteri; Salmoniformes; Salmonidae.